Molecule: long non-coding RNA, 27798 nt
Filed under: Gossypium barbadense (sea-island cotton)
Lineage: Eukaryota; Viridiplantae; Streptophyta; Magnoliopsida; Malvales; Malvaceae
Description: long non-coding RNA (GBAR_LNC002028)
Source: RNAcentral
UUUUUUUUUAUGUUGGUUUAGGGGUUAAAUUUGGUUCUAGAGGUUGAGUUUAGAAUGAUAAUAGGUUUAGGAUUCAAUGACUUUGUAAAAGAUUGUAGUAUGGGUGGAAAUGAUAAAUUAGUGAUAAACUUGAGGAUGAUUUUUCGUUUUUUUUAUUUUGGUCGAUGUUAUGAUAAAUUGACUUUUUUUUUAACAACAAUUAUCAAUAUAAAUUUUAGUUUUCUUAUUAGUGUUAGUUUGUUUUUGACCGCCUCCGAAUGUACCAACGUCCAGAGUAAAAAACCUGCACAAAAUAUGUCAAAUAGGCGGUGUUUGCAAGUAUAUGAGUCAGGUUGUAAUAUAGUUACAACGAAGUAGGUGAGUACUCUGAGGAUCGUACCCAAGAGAGGCGAGCACUAAAUUAAUCCCAACCUAAGCACAAAUAGAGCUAAUUAGUACUUUAAAUAAAUUAUAUUGCGAAUAAACAUAAAGAAAGAUUUUUUGUGUUUUAAUAAAUAAAGAAUAAAAUAUUAUAAAGGGAAGACUUUGAGAAAUUUGAUAUGGAAACCGAAUCAAAUCUGAGCAUGGGUGAUUUUAGCUCGCUUCGGUAAGCAUAAAUAAUUGUUUGUUCGAGUUCCUUGUUCAAUCAACUAGUUGUUACCCUAGCAAGAUCUCUCGAUCUUCCACCAGAAUAAUGAGUCAAUAAGAAUAAUUUAUCUCUCGACCGCACAGUCCAAACAAAUUCAGGGCUAAGGUGCUCACGAACAUGCCAUACCAAUUUUGGGUUAAUUCCCACCUAGAUGACUUCCUAGGGUCGGCAAGCCUAGGGUUUAAGUUCUUCCUCUCCCAAAUAACUGAUCCGCUAAAAAAAUUUGCACAACAAUCAAUUAAUCAUACCUCCACUCGCUAAUACCCCAUAAGAGGAUUAGUUUUUCAUAGAUCUCAAAAACAUAAUAAACUUGACGUAGAAGAUGAACAUUAAUAAUAAAUCAAGAGACAAAGGUUUAAGAGAAUCUUAAAUUAUAUUUAAUUAAAGCACUAAAUCCACAAAGAGUUGAUCAAGUUCCACAAAUCAGAUCUCCCGACAAACGCAAAACUGACAAUAACCUAAAGCCUAAGAAAAAAUAAAAAAUAAAAACUAAAAAUUACAAAGAAAAUUAUAAGGUAUCAAAAGCUAUCCAUAACAAGUGUUAAAUGAGCCUAUUUAUAGAGUUAGGGUUGUCAUUAUCCUCAACCCUAGGUCAGCUGAUACUUUCAUGUUUAAUGUUCGAUUGUGUAGACCAAAACGCCCCUAACUUGUAAGUAUUUCUCAUACAGGACCGAUUUUGCGACACCCUAGUGCCUGUGUUGCGACAUCAAAGGCAAUAUACUCGUAUUCAAGGUAGCGUCAAGGGUGUGUCGCAACAUCCAUUGGUUAUGUCAUGACACUGAAGGCGGUCUUGGAAUUCUUUCUCUCUACUCCUUAUGUUGCGACAUCAAACUCCCCGUGUUGCAACACAAUGACCAAUAUUAAAUUAGUGCGCCCUCUAAUGGCUCAUGCACACUCACAAAGUAUAUUAGCUCAUCCUUAGGCCUCAUUCGACCCCUAAGGUCAAUAAAAGACUCAAAUUACACUUUUUAUUGAAUGUAAAUAAACUUAUAAAAACUCAACUAAAACAUAAUAAAACGUUUGUAUUCAAUCUCCUUAAAUGCAAAAACUAGUUUAAUUUGCUACACCGAAUUACAGCAGAUCAAACUCCCCUACACUUCAGUCAUUGCUUGUCCUCAAGCAAAGCAAACAAAAGCAGCAAUUAAAGGACGACCUUUAAAAAAUAUGGUACAAAUGUUAGUUUUGGAGCACAUGACUAGGCAUUUUAUAUUUACACAUAAUCUUGGCAUGAUAUAUAGCUGACUUACCACUUUUGAUAUCAAACACCAAAGUUCAGUAUAUUACAAAGCAUACAAACAUUAAGGGUUUCAAAUGUAAGGAUCCAUCAACAAGUUAUACAGGUAAUUUAAUUAGCCUAGUAGAAUACAAACAAUUGUAAAUACAAUUAUUAGUAUGAUAUCAAUUCGUAAAUAAGUCUACUUAGAUCACAUAGGACUUUUCAGCUUGUAAUGUUCUAAGGCUUAAAACGAGUAUGGAAUUCAAAAACAGUAAGCAUCAAAUAGUUUCAAGCAUGAAAAUAGUUUUGCACAUUGUAUUGUUCACUAUUCUCCCCCUAGCAACCCUUACUUGUUCACCACCUUAUUUCUCCUUCUCUCGCCUUCCUUAUUUCUCCACAUAGGAAAUCACAACAUAGUACAACAACUAUGGCUAGAUCAUGAGUUUGUGUGCACUAAUGAACGAGCCUUUCUAUUUUUGGUAACUUUGCCACUUUUCUUUCCUUUUUUCAAUACAUUUCUCAUUCACGACUGCUUUUAAUUUCAAGAACUUUUUAUACUUGUUUUUAAUUUUCUUUAUGAGUUUUUCUUUUUCUGCACGUAUUGACUAACCUGUAAUCACUCUAUCGCACUGAUCCUUCCUAUUUCACUAUAUUUUUACAAAAUUCUGUUGUAAUGUAUCUACUUAACCCUUAAUACAUAUGGCCAGACAUCUAUAGUUGUGUAGUUUAUGACCAAAGAAAAAGGGAAAAUACAAAUGAAUGUUUUUUGCUCGAAUUUUGCAUGAAGGUUCAUCAAGAAGUGUUUUCUGGCUUAAAUAUAGGUACUAAGGAUGAAUAAAUAGGGCUAGCUUUUUUGCUCUGGGUGUAUACUAAACAAAACAUUAGGUCAUCCCUAAGUAUCUCAAUAUUCACAAAUUUAGUCAACCAAACAAUCACAAAUUCAACAAUUUAUCAUAUAUACUAGCAUACUCAUUUCCUUGUAUUUCUUAUAUCAUAUGGUACAUUCAAUUGCUCAAUGUCUAUUUACAGUGUAAUAUAUAGUCUAAUAAUAAAAAAUUUAAAAUAAUCUACUAUCAUGCCAAAUUUAUAGUAAAUACAAUCAACCUAUAUACAUGCUCUUAACCAAUCACUUGUAUUUCUACAAGCUCAAGCACACCAUUGUCAAGAAAAACAUAAACAUUGAAACAAAUUUUCUAUAUUACCCAUUCACAAUUUAGAUAACAUAUUGUCCUCACUGUAUAGUCUUGAAAAGAUAAGGAAAGAAGUUACACGAUUGAACGUGGUAGUUCCGUAAGCUACUGGUGGGUACUUCCUCCUUUGAUUUACGAUGUUUGUGCUUCUAUUGUGUGGGGAUUUUAUUAAAAAAUUCAUCAAUAUAUUUUUUUCAAUUCUACUAUUUCAUCAAAUAUGAUUAAUUACAAUAUCCUAAAAGAAAAAAAGUAACUUUCCUAGCGUAAAAUAAACUAAACUUAAAAAUUGUCCUAUUAUAUAUAUAAGUAUAUACAUUUUAUUACUCAUCUUCCCUUUGAAGUCAUCUUUUCCUCCUCUUUUCUUUUUGUUUUCUCUCUAAUAUUAAAAAUUGCUUAUAAACAUUGUCUCCUAGAAACUUUUUUGGAGAAAGUUUUUUGGAGGUUUAUCUCCUUAUCCAUCCCUUCCAUAGGUACUCCGGCUCUUUUACACAACUCCGUUAUAAGGUGUGGAAAGAAGGUUCCUUUUGCCUGAUUUCUUAAACAUUCAAUCAUGUUUCGAUAUAUCCAAUUACCAGUACAUAUUUGCUUCUUUUAUAAGAUUGUAUAAACUAGAAAAAUUUGUGUUGGGUUGAUGUCGGCUAUUGGCCAAAUUCUCGAACAUACAAACUUUAUCCAUAUUUUUGCUAUUGGAGUCAUUAACACUUGGUUGAAUGUCUCAUGUAUUGCUGUGUUUGUUUGAUACGUCUAUACUUUUUUCCCUUCUGUUAAAAAUCUCAGAACCUCCUCCAUGUCUACUUUUUUAAAUUCUUUGAGAUCUAUUUUGUAUAGGUAAUCUCGGUAACAAUACGAAGCAUCAUAAAAUUGACAAAUACUUCUUUCAGUUACCAGAACGUUUAACCCUUUGACUUAGACAUAUGUCCGUAGCUCAUAAUACGGUCUUGUCGAUUCUCUCUCUUUUAACGCAAAAUAGAAUUCCUGCACCACGGGUAUUAUUGUUGGUUCUUCAAGUGGCAAGCAAAAGUUAGUCCAUUCUCUUUCUGUUGCAAUUUCCCACACUCCUUUACAGUUUCUCAUUAAUGGGUCGAAUCCUUAUUCUUGGAUGAAUGUGUAUGGCUGCAAUUGUUAUAGAUAUUUGUCUAUGUUGUUUUCCUAAAAUUCAACAAAUGCAUUUAUAAUGUAAUAUCAAAAUAUAUAACUAUUCAAAUCUGAAUGUUGUUGUGGUAUGGCUCUCCGAGAUUAUGGUGUUUCUUUGAAUAGAGACAGAGAGAUCUUAUUCUUUACACAAUGUUUGGGGAUAAUGAAAAGAUUUAGGUGGUCUAUUUAUCUUAGAGGAAGAUAAUGAUAUAAUUAAGAGUUAUAGUUAUGUUAGUUAAAUUAUUCCUGAUCAAUGAAGAGUUAAAAAAUUCUACUAAAAUUCAAUUAUAAAAACAUCAGAUGUUAGUUAAAAGAUGGACCACAACUUACGUAGAGGUGUCGCAACAUCUUCUAUGAAUGUCGCGAUGUUGAGGACAAUUUACCUAUGCUAAAUUUUGUAUGGUGUCAUAACAUGCAUGGCUAGUGUCGCGACGUUGAUGCCAGUUUUUUCUGUCCUCUUUCUCUACCUUAGGAUCUUCUGUUGCCUCAUUUUCUUCAUUUAUUUCUCAUUCACUUUCUAAUAUACUCUCGUUCCUAUAAAAAUUUGCAUUGUAAGGCUUGAGUGUCAAUUAUUUCCUUGGUUGUCCUCCCGAAAUAAUGUUUUACUCUCUAUCCAUUUACCAAAAAUAGUUGUCCUUCAUUUAAAAUAAGUUCUAUUGCCCCAUGAGGUGUUACCUGAUUUAUAGUGUAUAGGCCAGUCCAUUUGGAUUUCAACUUACUAGGGAAUAAUUUUAAUAUCGAAUUAAACAACACUUUUUGUCUAGGAAAAAAUUCACAUUUUCGUAUUUUUUCGUCAUACCUAGGUUCGCUUCUCUCCUUGUAUAGCUUGGUGUUUUCGUAAGCCAUAAAAUGAAAUUCUUCCAAUUCUUGUAAUUGAAAUAGUCUCUCUUUCUUGGCUAACUCUGGAUCUAAUUUCAGUUAUUUGAUUGCCUAGUAUGUUUUCUUUUCUAAUUUAACCGGCAAGUGAAAAUUUUUCCCAUAAACAAAUAUGUAAUGAGGCAUUCCUAACAGAGUUUUGUAUGUUGUUCUGUAGCCACCUACGUAUCGUCUAAUCUUGACGACCAAUAUUUCCUACUUGGAUUACUUGGAUUUACCAUUUUUCAAGAAUUCAUUUAAUCUUCCGGUUGGACACCUUUACUUGGCCAUUAGCUUAUAGAUGGUAUGCUGUUACCAUCCGAUGUCUCACACUGUACUUGACUAGAGUAGCUUCAAACUGUUUACUGCAAAAAUGAGAUCAUUCAUCACUUACCAAAGUAAGAGGUGUUCCAAAUCUAGCAAAUAUAUUUUUUUCUUAAGAAUCUAACUACUGAUUUUGUAUGAUUAGUAGGUAAUGCCACUACUUCGAACCAUUUGGAAACAUAAUCAACAGUUAAUAGGAUGUAUUGAUUCCCAAAAGAACUUGGAAAAGGGUCCUAUGAAGUCAAUUCCCCAAACAUCAAAUACUUCUACUUCGAGUAUCUCAAUUUGUGGCAUUUCAUCUCUUCUCGAUAUAAUUCUAGUUCUUUGGCAUCUAUCACAUCCUUGUACGAAUUCAUAAGCAUCUCUGUUCAUAGUCGACCAACGAAAUCCUGAUUGCAGUACUUUCCAAACUGUCUUUUUUUGUCGAAAUACCUCCACAUAGUGAUGUAUGACACUCUUGCAAAAUAUCGUUUACUUCUUUUUUUCCAUACAUCUUAGUACUAAUUGAUCUGUGCACUGCUGGAAUACAUACGGAUCUUCCCAAGUAUAAUUUUUUGAUUCAUGCAUGAUCAUCUUUUUUUGUUGCCAUGAUACUUGUGGUGGAAAAACGUCUUUAGCAAUGUAAUUCACAUAAUCUGCAUACCAUGGUGUGCUAUUACUUCUGACCCUCAUUUGCUAGGCAUCUAUCCUAAAUAAUUGUUCAUCUAUGAAGGUCUCAUUCAUUUCUUUAGAGUUUUGCUAUUCUAAAUCAUUUUUUGUUCUAGAUAAAUGGUUUGUGAUCUGAUUUUCUAUUCAUUUUCUAUCUAUUAUCCAAAGGUCAAAUUCUUGAAGUAGUAAUACUCAUCUCAUUGACCUGCCUUUUGUUUCUUUCUUUUUCAUAGCGUACUGUAAUGUAGAGUGGUCAGUUUAAACAUAAACUCUAUUGCCAUCAAAUAAGGGUGAAUUUUUUUACAAGAAAACAUGAUAGCAAGCAUUUCUUUUUCAGUAUUAGUAUAAUUAAAUUAUGCUAAAUUAAGUUUCUAACUUGCAUAAUGAAUAGCUCCAAACAUGUUGUUUCUCUUUUGUCCCAAUACUACUCCCACGGCAUAAUCGCUAGUGUCGUACAUUAUAGUAAAGGGUUCUGACUAGUUAGGAGUAAUGAUUAUAGGUGCAGAGAUAAGUUUUUUUUAUUAUUAUCUUAAAUGCUUUGAUACAAUCAUGAUCAAAUAUAAAAGGUAUCUUCUUCUGAAGCAGUUGAUCCAAUGGUUUAGAAAUGUGAGCGAAAUAUUUUAUGAAUCACUUGUAGAAUCCAGUAUUACCCAAAAAUUUUCUCACUCCUCGAGCUGUUGUAGGGUUUAGGAUAUUUUUGAUAACUUAGAUCUUAGCCUUAUGUACUUUUAGACCUUUCCUUGAUAUUUGAUUUCCCUGCAACAAUCUUUCUUUUACCAUAAAGUGACAUUUUUCCCAAUUGAGUACUAGAUUGGUUUCUUCGCAUCUUUGUAGAACUUUCUCGAGGUUAUCCAAGCAUUUUCGAAAGGAUUCUUCAUAUACUGAGAAAUCAUCCAUGAACGGAUCCAGGUCUUCUUCCAGCAUAUUAGCAAAAAUAAUAGACAUGCACUACAUAAGCAUUACAUAGUCCGAAUGACAUUCGUCUAAAAGCAUAUGUGCCAAAAGGACAUGUAAAUGUGGUUUUUUCUUAAUCAUUUGGAUGUAUUAAAAUUUGAUGAUAUCCAAAAUAUCCGACAAGUAAACAAUAAUGCUAUUUUUCUGUUAAUCUAACGAGCAUUUGAUGAAUAAAAGGAAGUGAGAAAUGAUCUUUUUUUGUUGCAUCAUUUAAUUUUUGAUAGUCUAUACAUACCUUCCAACUAGUGAUUGUCCUUGUUGGUAUUAACUCAUUCCUAUCAUUCUAAACCACUUUAAAUCCCCCUUUCUUUGGGAUGUAUUAUGUCAGACUGACCCAUUUACUAUCAGAUAUUGCAUAAAUAGUACCCGCAUCCAGCCAUUUAAGUAAUUCUUUUUUACCACUUCUUUCAUAGCCGUAUUUAACCGGAGCUGUGCAUCUACCACUGGUUUUCUCCCUUCUUCUAAUCUAAUCUUAUGUUGAAAGUACAAGAUUGAUUCCCUUAAUAUUAGCAAUCGUCAAUCCAAUGGCUUUUUUGUGAGUUUUUAAAAUACUUAACAAUGCCUCUUCUUGCUUCGAACUUAACCUAGCAGCUAUAAUCACAGUAGUGUAUUUUAUUCCCCCAAAUAUCCAUACUUUAAGUGUUUUGGUAAUUGCUUUAACUCUAACUCGGGCAAUUUGAUAAUGGAGGGUACCAUUCUUAUUGUAUUUAGAUUAAUUUGUUAUGGUUGUCCCUUGCUGUACCGCCAUCGAUCAAAUUGAGCUAUCUGGUCAUUUUCUUGUUCUGUAUCAUCCUAUUUCUCUUCUUUCGAUUCAUAUUUACCGUGCUCAGCCAAAUUUGCUAUGAUCGAUUGCAGUUUGUUGCACUUUUGCUUUUCUGACUUGGAUUCUACCAGUUGCCCAGCUUCCAACUCUUGAUGUUUCCCCCAGGUAAAUUCAUUCAUUUUCACUAAAAUCUUAUAAUAUUUCCAUGACUUCCUUUUCGAUUUUCUUCUAGAUACUUCCCCCAGUUAUAAUGUCAAAUUUUUUUUUCCUAUUUUGGCUAUCUAAUCCAUCGUGGAAAUGUUGGAUUUAGACCGCAAAAUGUAUGUCUCCUCCUAGCACUGACCCAAGAAUUGUUUUGAAUAUUUCCCAUGCUUGCCCUAAUGUUUUAGUAAUGCACUGUUUGAAUUAAAAUAAUUUUUCAUAAAUACUAAAUACCUUAGUCAUAGGCAAAACCUGUCGAAGAAAUAAUCACACAAAAUUAGCUCAUGUAAUGAUAGUGUUAGGUAGAACUGCAUCUAACUAGGCUUUCGCUUUCUCAUCCAAUGCGAAUGGUAUUAGUAAUAAUUUAAUAGUAUCUGUUGGAACCCCAACAUAAGCAAUAGUGUUGCAUAUGUGUUUAAACUACUAGAGGAAGGCUAUAAGAUCCUCUAUUUUAUAAUUAUUAAAUUUGACAUUAUUAGAAAUCCAGGUUAGUAAUGAAUGAUUUAAUUCAAAAUGAGGACCAUAAAUAAUGGGGCGUGUAAUACUAGAGCGCAACCACACUGCAUAAAAAAAACUCCUAAUGCUUGCAUCAUGUCAUUAAAGGUUACUUAUUAGAUUGCAAAGGUCAAAUAUUAUUGGUGCUUGAUCUAUGGUAUAACUGUAAAGAAUUAGUUGUUAAUCAUUUUAGAUAUGUAAGAAUCCUUGCGAAUGUCUUCCUAUACCUUGAAAUCAUAAAAACAAACAAACAAAAAAAACAAAUAAUAGGGUGUCAAUAAAGUUAAAAUAUAGAACCCAUAUCUAUUAUUUGUUAAUUUCCUAAUUAUUUUAUUAAGUAAAAAAAUUAAAAUCAAUAUAGUGAUGUUGCCUCCUUGAAAAUGAUUCCAACAACUUGACCGCCUCCUAACGUACCGACUUGUCUCCAAGUAUACGAGUCAAGUUUUAAUAUAGUUACAACAAAGUAGGUGAGUACUUUGAGGAUCAUCCCAAAGGGAGGCAAGCACUAAAUUAAUUCUAAAUUAAGCACAAGUAGAGCUUAUUAGUACUUUAAAUAAAUUAUAUUACGAAUAAACAUAAAGAAAGAUUUUUGGGUAUUUUUAUAAAUUAAGAAUAAAAUACUAUAAAGGGAAGACUCUGAGAAAUUUGAUAUGGAAACUGAAUUAGAUCUGAGCAUGGGUGAUUAGUUCGCUUUGGUAGUUAUAAAUAAUUGUUGCUUCACGUUCCUUAUUCAAUCAACUUGUCGUUACCCUAGUAGGAUCUCUCGAUCUUCCACCAGCAUAACGAGUCGGGAAAACUAGUUAUCUCUCAACCUCAUAGUCCAGACCAGUUCGGAGCUAAGGUGUUCAUGGAUAGACCAUACUAAUUUUGGGUUAAUUCCCACCUAGAUGAGUUCCUAAGGUCGUCAAGCCUAGGGUUUAAGUUCUUUCUCUCCCAAACAACUGAUCCUCUAAGAAAACUCUACACAACAAUCAAUUAAUCAUACCUCCACUUACUAAUCCCCCAUAAGAGGAUUAGUUCCUCAUGGAUUUCAAAAACAUAAUAAACUUUAUGUAGAAGAUGAACAUUAAUAGCAAAUCAAGAGACGAGGGUUUAAGAGAAUCCGGAAUUGUAUUUAAUUGAAGUACGAAAUCCACAAAGAGUUGAUCGAAUUCCACAAAUCAGAUAUGUUGCUCGACUUAACUAAAGCCUAACAUGAUUAGUAUCUUUCCACUACAUUAAAAGAUAAUGAGUUUUUUUUUCAAAACAAAGCAAUAAACAACGAAUUUCCCAAAAACGUCACUAUCAUUAGUAAAAUGGAUCUUAAGUAUAGAUGGCUAAAUAAGUGAAAGUUUUCAAACUAAUUCUAAUGUAACCGCAAUUUUACCAAAGUGAAAUAAAAUAGGGUUUUUAUGGUCUAUGGGGUUAGUCAUUUUGAUUAAUAAUGUAGUCUUCAUGAUCUGGCCAUAACUUCUAGAACGGGUUGGGGAGGUUACAGGAUGGUUACCCACGUAUUCCUUUGUAUUCACGUUGAUUCAUCAUGUUGAUUGUUCUUGAAAUAAAAAUGCUAACAGUAUGAUUUAUAUGAAUUGAUGUAUGAAUGAGUAACGAAAUGAUGGAUAGGUUAUAUGUUUGAAUGGGAUGUACUCAACUUGUACAUGUGUAAUGUGUUAACAGGAUCAAGAAUUUAGUUAAGUUAUAUGUGUGUUUAAAUGUUUUGCUAGGUGAGUUUAAUGUAUUAAAAUCUAUGAACUUACUAAGCAUAUUUAAUGCUUACCUCGUUUAAUUUUUCCUUUCCUUGUAGAGUUUUGGUGGAACUCAGUAGGCAGAUUGAUCCACAAUUUACACUAUCUAGCUUAUGUUUCGAUAGAAUUAUUUUUAACUCUACCCAGGUUAAUGGCAUAUAUAUGGGGUCCAUUUAGCAGAACUGUACGUGAAAGAAUGACAAUGUUUUGAAUGAGGUGUAUAUAUAUGUAGUUACUCUAUUGUGAUACUUGUUUAAUGUUAGCGUAGACUAUUAGUAUGCUUGAAAUAGAAAUAUUUGCAUGCGAUAAAUAUGCACUUACUUCUGGAUAAUUAUCGGUGGAUUGUUUUGGCGAACACUCAUAGCGUUAUCAAAAUUCCUAGAGGACAGUUGACCCUCUAUAAAUGUGUUACCGCUGAUAGAAUAAAUAUUACACCAAAAAUAUAAGAAUUAAGACCGAUGGUGUCCACAAGUGCACGAGUCAAAUUGUAAUAUAGUUUUAUAAAAUACUUGAAAGUAUUCCGAUGAUUGUACUCAAUAGAGGAUGGAAUAAAUAAUGAAAACAUUUUUACAAUAACAAGUCCAAGUAGUAGUAAUUAAUCCCUAUAUUACGAUAAACCAUAAAAUAAGUUGAAGAGAUAAAAAUAAAUAAAUAAAGAAAAAUAAACAAACGAAAUAAAUCAAUAAACCAAUUAAGAAGAUUAACUCGCUUUAGGGUUUGUAACUAACUUUGGAUUAGGGUUUUAGGGUGAAUUAGCUACCGAUUAACCAAUUAUUAUCUCCUGGUCUCUAAUUAACUAAUCGAUUGGUUGAUACUCGCUUAUCUCCUGACCUCACUUUCUCAACUAAGAUAAAUUACGAUUUAAUUAAUUUAACUUAUCUCUCAACCUCAUCUAGCCUAUGGUAACUUUUUAGGGUUGUCAAUCCUAGUGGAUUAAACAUACGUAAUUCAUACCAACUAAUCUUUCUCAAGAAACCCUAAAUCCUUUAUUAAUCACAUCUCUAUUCACUCAUUAAUAUCCUCUAAGGGAUUUAGCUACUUACGUUAUUCAUAUUCUCUUCCUUGAUUGAACAAAUCAUGUGAAGAACAUGAUAGACUCGAAAGAGAAAAGAGAUUUGAAUAACCGUGGAUUGAAUAUCGAAUGAGUAACAAAGUAGUAAAUCUCUUUAUUGGAAUAAAGAAUUAAAUCAAUUGCAAAAGCACACAAACUGAAGUACUUGAAUUAAAUAGAUAGACUCUUGAAUCAAAACUGAUUUCAAGAGGAAAAACAAAAAGUAUUGAAAAAACCGAAAAGAAAAUAAUCUAAUCCUACUCCUAAACUACUAGGGGUUUUUUGAAGGUAUCUAGGAUGACUUAGUUACAUUCAACCCCUAAUGUCUUAUUUAUAAAGGUUUCGGCAACGCAAAUUAAGUCUUCAGCACGUCUUAGGUCUUUGUAUAAGUUUAAUUGCGUGGACAAAAAUAACCCUGAUAAACUUGGGUAGCACGUCAAUGUGUGUCGCGCCACACCCCUUGAAUGGUGUGACACAACACCCACUUCCAACCUUGUGUCAUUUGUUUGGUACUUUGACGUCCUAGGAGGCUUGCACAUCACUCGUCCUUUGCUUCCAUGUCAAUUGGGCCUUUAUAUCUUCAUCCUACUCAAUUGAACAUAUUAGCACAACCUAAGGCUCAUAUCGGCCUAUUAGGUCACAACAUCCACAAAAUGUGUUAAAAACACUUAUUUUAUUAACUUUUACUCUUAAGGCCUAACUACUGAAAACAUAGUAUAAAAUCCUAAAUUGCUUAUAAAACAAGCUCGUUAAGUGCGGAAUUGACCCAAAUUAACAGCUACAUUUGAUGACAGGUCAACAGUUUUCUAACGGAUAGACAGUGGUAGAAAUUCAUUUUCCUUUCCUUUCCUUUCUAGCAACGUGUUUUUGUUCAAAGAUUUCAUAUUGAAUUAUAAUGACUUAAAAAAAGAUUUAUCUAAUGGUUUUGUAAGUCCAUGUUUUAUUGUAACAUCCUAUAACUCAGGUCUGACAACUGGGCCGAGCAAAGGGUGUUACAACUUGGAGGAUAUAUUUAUGAAAGAAAUUACUAAAAAUUAAAGGAUUAAUGUUUAGAAACAAGAAAAUUGAAGAAUUAUGGGUGCUUGAGGUGUCGGGAGAACAAAAAACAACAGAGGAAAAGAGAAGACACUGUUUCGAGUGGUUGGGCUAGGGCUCGUAAUGACGAGGCUCUCAAUUUCUUCAUAUAUCCUUGAACAUUUACUAAUUAAUCCUUUUAACUAAUAAAAAUCAAUAGUGAUUAACUUUUUUGGUUUUUACGAUUUAAUUCUUAUAGCUUAAUUAAUCGCUAAAUCGACAAAUUUACUAAUCCAAAAUUCAAUUCUCCUAUACAAUAACUUUGUAAAUAUUUAAUAAAAAUGUUUAAGAGCUCGGUUUACGGAAUCGAAGGUCCUGAUACCUCAUUUUUUGACACCACUAACUUUAGGGUCAAUUCAUUUGUACUUUAACUAACUAUCCAAUUAAAAAUUUUCACUAGAAAAAAUUCAAUAUAAAUUUAAAUAUUACUUAAUAAUAUUUAUGGACUCAAUUAUUGGAGAACGUGGUUCAAAACCACCAUUUCUGGCACCAUUGAAAAUCGGGUUGUUACAUGUAUUAAAGUGUGCUAGCUUGGAAAUGUUGGUUUGCUUGAACUUUAGGUUAAGCUUUGAUUAUGGAUUUUAAAGUUGUGUAUGUUUUGGCUAAGUGUCAAACUAGGUAUGUGAUGUUUUUAUAACCAAAUGAAUGGGAAAUGACAUGGUAAAUAAAGUUUUAGAAUGAACUAAUGUAUGAUUUGUUAGGUUGAACUUAAAUAAGUUAAGUUGGAAUGGUUUGGCAUCACCUGAAAGCUAGGUUGGAUUGGUUACUUGAAUUUGGUUGAAUGUGGUGAAUAGGUAUAUUUUGGAAUGUCCUUAUGCAGGUUUGAGUGAGUGUUGAUGCACCAAUUGUAUGCCGUGGCUCGGUUGAAUGAAAUAAGUAUCAAAAGACAUAGUUCGAGCCAAAAAUAGAGUCCACAUCGCAAUGUCAAGCAAUGGUCUUCGCAAUGAGGCUUGAACUUUAGACCAUAGCAUGAUGAGGAACCCUGUCAUCACAAUGAGGUCAAAACAUUUAGUCACGUCAUGACGAGAAAACCCUCCACAUCACGAUGUUAAAUGAAAAAUUUUAAAAAUGAUGCAAAUUGGUCCUGCUUCAAUUUUUGGUUAAUCUUAGAGCAUUCAUAGGCUCAUAUAAACUCGAGAAAGGUUGUAUGAUGUGAUUAUGUUAUGUAAUUGUUGUGUUUAAAUGAUUUUUAUUUUACAAUGUAUUAUAUUUGAUUGUAUUUACUCUAGCAUUGACUAUAGCAUUCCAUAGCUCAAACCUGACGAUCGGGUCGGGUGAAGGGUGUUACAUAACAUCACACAAAAUAUUUCAUUUUUUCAACAUGAAAUUGUAGGAUUUCAUCAAUUCUUCAUGUUUCUUUUCUUCAUUACACUCAUCUUAUUUAUUUUCCAUGAAUAACACUAUUAUUUACAUCCCUUUCUACACAUAACUUUAGCUUGGUUAAUAGUUAAAUCAAAGCAUCUUAGUAUAUAUUUAGGUUUCCAUGUUUGAAGUACUAAUUUAUGCUUUUUAGUAGUUUUUAUUACAUCUUAUAUAUCUAAAUAAAGUUACAUGGUCUUGUAGUACAAAUCAGGAGCUAAAGAUGCAUAUUCAAACCAAAACUAAUGUCCAUGUCGCGACACCAAGACACCAAUGUCACAACACUAAAGAAAAAAGAAAAAAUAAGUCCUGGAAUGAAACUGUCUGCUGUGUCGCGACACGCCAAUACUGUGUCGCGAUACACCCUCUAUGUUGCAACACGACUUCUGCAAGACCCAAAAAUCCCUGUAUGUGAUAGCUACGUUUUUUAGGGCAAUUAGGAGUAUUUUUCCUAAUUGAACUCUAAUUACUUCAAGAAUAGUUUAGGCACUUUAAUAUUCUGAGUUUAGCCUAUACAAAGUUUAUUAUGAUCAGAUUAAACACAUAAUUUUAGGGAAACAGAAGUUAUUUUGACAUUUUUAUUUCAUUCUUAAAUUUUGCUUAGUUUAUGUAUGUUAUUGUAAUCGGAAGAUCCUAUUCUGAAGUGAGACUUUCACGAGUGGAUAUUAUUUCAGAACCACGCUUCCAUCGAUAAAUUCAUGAACAUCUUUUUCCUUUAUUCUAUUAUUUAUAUUUCUUUCUUUAACAUUAUUAAUUGAAUGUUUGUGUAAAGAUUAGAAUCAAUUUAGGCUUUAUACAUAUUUUACAUGUUUCAACUAUAUUAACUUAAUUAAUUGAUUGGAAGGUAGUGUUUCAUUUGGAUUGGUUAGAUCUGGUUGAGUGCAAUUAAACCCUAGGAUUGACGACCCUAAGAAGUCAUCUAGGUAGAAAUGAACCCAAAAUCGGUAUGCCUACCAAGCAUCACUUAGAAAAUUAGUGGUUGGGGAAGGAAAAACUUAAACCCUAGGAUAGAUGACCCAAAGAAAUCAUAUAGGUGGGAAUGAAACUGAAAUCGGUAUUGCUUAUACGUGAAAACCUUAUCCUGCCUCGGCUUGAAUCGUGACAUUGAAAGAUAAGUAGUUCUUGUCGACUAGUUAAGUUAAUAGAAGGCUGAGAGGUCUUACUAGAUUAAUUACUAGCCAAUUAUUUAGAAUCCUACAUCAAUAAUUAAUCAAGUAAAUCAAUGGAUUUAGGCUAAAAGAACUCGCAUAGUCGAAACAAGGAAUAAGAGAAGUAGAUACAUUAACCUAGGAGUAGAUUUAGGUUUAGUUCAAUUAGUUUAUUAUUAUCAUCUUGUUUCCAGAUUAACAUUAUUAAUUCGUGACUUAAGUAGAUUAGUAAUUAUUUCUGGUAAUUAACUUAAUAUCAGUUUUCCCUAAAUUGUAAUCCCUUAGGUACAACCCUCGAAAUACUCUUAAUACUUCAUUGUACUAACAAACUAUAUUACAAUUUAAUUCGUACACUUGUGGACACCACCUAAUUUCCUAUCUUUUGUAGCAGUAUACACACUCCUGACAUUAGUACAUUCGGAGGUGGUCACUGAUUCACACUCAAAAGCAUCUGGUUUAUCCACCUUUGAUGUGAAAGUAACAAAGUUUCUCACUUGUUCAUUAUCUUGCUCUGAUUCUAAGUUGGUUUCCUCAUUACUCUAGGUCACACAUAGUGAUUAUCUCUUUUUCUUUUUAAGAGUAUUUACAUAUUUUGUUUGGAUAUGCCCAAAGCCAUUACACUCAUGACAUUGAAUUCCUUAUUUCUUCUCCUUACCAAGUUCAUUUAACUCAACUUUAUUUUUUUCUUUCUCCUUUUUGGAUAGCCUUAGAUGACUCAAAAUUUUUAUUCCUUCCAAAACUAAUUUUUUAUCCAUCUUGUUAAACCAUUGAGUAAGUAAAGCCAAUUAUUCUUACAUCUAUUUGAUAAUAGUGCUUUAUUUAGUGGGCACAGUUUCAGCCACAUAAAAACCAAUAUUCUUCUCAAAUUUUAAUUUGCCCUUCUUAGCCUUUUCCAUCUUGAUUUCAAAAGUUUUGAGAAAUCCAAUUAGCUCAUCAAUUCCCAUGCAUCAAUAUUCUUGGCCUUUUUUAUGGUUUUUACUUUGAUAUUGAGCCUCUCAGGUAUUGGCCUAAAAACCUUUUUUACAAGUUUAGAGUUUGAGUACUCAUUCCUUAAGGCAAAAACUUGAUUGUUUAGGUCAUAGAGUUUUGCAUAGAUCUUUCAAAUGGUCUCUGAUUCCUACAUCCUUAGAAUCUCAAAUUUAGUUUUCUAGACUUGAAGCUUUGAUUGUUUCAAUGUAUUAGUCCAUUCAUAGGUUGUCUUUAGAAUUUCCUAGACCUCAUUGGCUUCAGCAUACUCAGAGAUUUUCUUGAGCUCCUCUCCAUCUACCCAACAAAAAAAUAGCAUAAAAGGGUUUUAAAGUUGGUAACAGCAGUCUUUUCUUCUUCAGUAGUCCAGGGUGCCUUGGCCUUGAGAGUUUUUACUCUUUCAGUUUCAGUUAACGGAUGAGUCCAUCCAGUUACAACAAUCCUCCAAGCUCAUUCAUCCAUUAACUUAAAGAACACUUUCAUCUUAGCUUUCCAAUAUGUACAAUUUACUCCAUUGAGCAUAAGGGGCAUGAGAUUGAAGAUCAUUCCAUUCCAAACAAGUAUAUCAACCAAGAUAAUUGUUAUUUAUGUUUAGAGAGAGGCUUUGACACCAAUUAUAGAAACGAUGGGAUACGUACUUCAGUAAACAGAAAACUGUUGCUAAAAUAGUGCUUGGAACUGUAGUCAUAGUUUCAAUCGUGAAACCAAAAGUGCAUAUAUGUAAAGAGGAACAUUGAUAUUGUUUACGCAGUUCAACUUUAGCCUACACUUGUGGGCCUUACCUAGAGUAAUGAUCUAUUAUAUUUCUCACAAUACAACUGAUGAUUUAAGUCCCAACUAAUUUUCCAAAAUUAGGUUUUUUUUUAUCAUUUAAUUAGCUUAUUUUCAGGUAAUUUGAUUAGCUUUCUAGGAUUUUUUUGUUUUAGUAUUUCAUAUUCAACUUCAAUAAAAUAAGUGUUUUUGAGUGCUUUGAUGACCUGUUAGGACAAUCUAGGCCUAAUGAAAGACUACUGGGUUAAUUGAGUGUGCAGGACACCAUUUUAGGCCAAUGAAUCGAAGAAACAACUUCAAUGUCGCGACAUCCACCAGAGGUGUCGCGACAUCCGCCGGUGGUGUCACGAUCAUCAACUUUAAAGCAAAAUUGGGGUAUUAAAGGUGUCAAUGUCAUGGCACUCUACUUUGAACCUUCAGGAGAAAUCAUUCACUUUUGAUGUCGCGACACCAGAGUGCAAUGUCGCAACACCCAACUUUAAGGCCAAGGAAGUUCCAAUUUCAUGUUAAAUGUCAUGACACUGGUCUUGUGGUGUCGCGACAUCAAUUCAACGAGGCCAAAUUAUAGCUAAGGGUGUUUUCGUCUGACAAGCCAUUUUAAUCCGUCUUAAUCACUUGUAUUUGACCUAAUAUGAUCAGAAAAUAGCAAACUAUAUAUAGCAACACUUAAUACCUAAUUGAUGGAGCUUAUUCCCUUAGUUUUAGUUUUAGUUUAUGGAUUUAAGGUUUGUUAAUUGGGAAUUUAUUGCUACUUCAGCUUUGGAUUCAAUUGCAAUUUUAGUUCGGAUUAUGAUCGAGUUUUGUUCAACGACUGUUAAACGAGUUUUCAGUUUCGCGCCCAAUCGACAUCCCAAUGGAUCAAAAUCUCUUUUCCCUUCUUUGUUAUUUUUAUAUUUGUUUGAAUGCGUGAAUUGAAAUUAGUGAAAUUUGCAUCUAGAUUCACGAGGAACUAAACCCGUAGGGAGAUUAACGAGCAGAGGUGGAAUUAAUUGACUGAAGCAUUAGGGUUUGUUUUAGAAUUAGUUGAAUUAAAUUGAGUGCAAUUAAACCUUAGAUUGACGACCCUAGUAAGUUUUUUUUAGGUAGAUGAGGUCAAAAGAAUAAUUUAUCAAACAUCUCUUGAUUUAACCCAAUUUAAACUAUGAAGUCAAAAGAUAAAUAACUUAUGUCUGUUAGUUAAGUUAAUUUGAGACCAAAAGGUAAUAACUAUAUUAAUUCUUAACUAAUUCAUCCAAAACCUUAAGUUAGAAGUUAAUAUAGGUUUUUGAGUUGGCUAGGCUAAGUCAAGUUUAGGCCCGAGUUUAUUUUUUAUUUUUUAAAAUCGAGUUAAGAUAGAAUUCAUGAACAAAUCUAAAAAUAAUUAUGUGGCUUUAUGCUUAUGAAGAUUUCUAAUAAACUAUAUUUGUUUGUCCUCAAAUUGUAAUUAAAUGUCAAAAAAUAUUUAGAAAAAGAAAAUCAUCAUGUUAAUUGCCGGCUAUAGAAAAAUCUAACUUUACAUUAGCACUCUUGUUAUACGACAGCACCCAGAUGGAGUGAAAUAAUAGGAGUCAGUCAAGUUGAACUAGAAGGAGAAAGAUUAGGAAAUGAUGAAGAGCAGAUUUGAUGUUGUUCUAGUCUUCUUUCCCCAUGAGUUUUGAUGACACAUGUUUGGAGAUUGGACUUUCAACGUAUCUUCCCUUGCUUUCCUUACUUUGCUGUAGUUUGGGGUAUCUUUCAUCAUACCAUCUACUUUCCUCCAUCUUUAACUACAGUACAGUACACGUGGGGUUCGUUUCUUUUGCCUUCUUUCAUUUAGGACACAUCCAACCCAUUGCACUUAUGAAACAUUGCAUCUUUGAGGUUUAUUAUCGAAAACAUUCACCACCCCAGAUCAUAUCUUUUUCUGCUUCUCUCACUCUCUUCCCAUAACUCCAGCUUUUUGGUGAAUGAAUGAGCAUUGAAAAAGCUUCCAUCUUUUCGAGUUUCUGAUAUAUGUUUUUUUUUACUAUUUACAAAGGGGGUAAACUUUUAUGAUGAUUACUUGCUAGAUAUAGAUGUUUGAGCCCUUUCCUCUUUUAGAAUUAUGGAUUCUGGGAGUAGGAUUUACACGGCUGAUGAGUUCAAAUUGGAUGCUAAAUGGUUGAUUGAUCCAAAGCAUCUCUUUGUUGGUCCAAGAAUCGGAGAAGGAGCUCAUGCCAAGGUCUAUAAGGGAAAGUAAGUUUGCAAAAUCCUUUACUUGUUUCCAUCUUUGAUUACUGGUUUGUAUUUUUCUGGGUAACGCCUUCACUGUGAGUCCCAACUUUUUUUUCUCUUUGCCAAAUUCACCUACUUCAUCAUUACAUUGUUCAAAAUCUAUCAGUUGGGGGAAUUAGUAGUCUUUCUGAUUUAUUUGUGGGUUUUACGUUUAGCUGAUAUUCCAGGCAUUCAUGUCUAGUUUAUGUUCUAUUCUUUCCCCAUUUUGUCUAAAACUUUAAUCUGUUUCCCAAACAGAAACUGGGGAGUGGGAAUACCUAAUUCUUCUUGUAAAAUAGUGAAGACUUUCAUUGAAUUAUACUUAGUUGCAUCUGGAUUGAGAUCUUGAAUAUGUUUUCAGCCCGUUUUAUCCGUAAUUUUAUAUAUAUAUAUAUUGUUUGUAGCAAUGUCACCUUUUCUCUCUCAACUUUCUUUCUUUUGUCUCCUCUUUUUGCAGAUAUAAAAACCAGACUGUUGCAAUUAAAAUACUUCAUAAGGGAGAAACUCCUGAGGAGAUAGCCAAGAGAGAAGGACGGUUUGCAAGAGAGGUUGCAAUGUUGUCUAGAGUGCAGCAUAAAAAUCUAGUGAAGGUAGGAUUGGAUACAGUUCCCUUAGCAUAGUUGCUUAUGUGAUGUUUAAGUGAUGAUAAUACUUGACUAGCCAUUGUAAUAGUUUCUUUCAAUUCUAACUCUGAUUGUUGAACCCUUGUCUUUAACAGUUUAUUGGUGCCUGCAAGGAGCCUGUAAUGGUGAUAGUUACUGAGCUUCUGCUGGGUGGGACUCUACGGAGGUAUUUGCUGAACAUGCGGCCGAGGUGCUUAGAUAUGCGUGUUGCUAUUGGUUUCGCACUUGAUAUAGCUUGUGGUAUGGAAUGCUUGCAUUCUCAUGGGAUCAUACACCGUGAUCUGAAGCCUGGUAAUUCUCUCAUUUUACAUCUGCAUUUUCUGGGUUUUGAAAUUUGAACGUGGAUAAGGUUUGGAUUUUGCUUUACGGAGGCAUAGGGCAAUUUUGAAUCAGAUGGCCACAUCAAUUAAGUGAAUUAGUUUCUUGAUUGCCGGUGGGCUUUAUUGAGUUUUUUCAUCUCUAAGAACUAUGAAGGGAUGCAAGAAGAUUAUGCAGUUCAUGCAUGUGAAAAUGGGUGGGAACUCUAAGAAGUUGUAAGGAAAAUAUUAAAUUUCAGCUCAGUAUUCAGAAUGAAAAAUUGUGUAGAGCCGGGCAUUUUGACAUGCAAGUAUUGUGUUGCAUAUAAAUCUGAUGCAGUUGGUUGGCAUCAAGGAACCUAUAAAAGCCCCAAUUGUAUUAUAUAAGUAAAAAUCAGUUGCAUCCGAUAUAAUUGGAGAAAAGCAUGGAUUUGCUUCCAAUGGAAACCAAAUUGAAUCUCUUCCAGAUGUUGGGUUCACUCGUCCUGCUAAAGAUAGUAUCACAAAAGGUAUAAAAUCAUUACCGUUAAGUCUAUUAAGCUGCAUAUUGAUUGUUUUAGGUGGUGAAACUAGGGUCUCAUGUUUUAUUGUCAUCUUAUAUUUGUCUGUUGUUGUUUUGCUGUACUUGUAUAAUGGCUAUAAAGAAAAUAAUAACAUUUGACAUAAGAGAACCAGUUGUGUGAGUUAACUUAUGUGUUACAACUUAAUCCUGCUUAACUAGAAGUUAUGCACAUCCAUCUUUAAUGCCCCCUCAAACGGUUGAAACAGAAAACUUGAUGCUAGCGACACGAAUGAUUCAACAUAGCAUUGGGAGGUCAUAAUUUUCACUGUAUCUGCAUAUUCUCUCUGCAGAAAACUUGCUUUUGACAGCAGACAAUAGAACAGUUAAACUAGCAGAUUUUGGCUUAGCGCGAGAGGAACAUACCGCUGGAUGGCUCCAGAGGUACUUAUAUUUUCACCUUGGUUUGUUGUUCAGUCCUUUUCAUACUAAACCACUAAUUAAUCUUGGUUGUGUGGCUAAACUAUGAUAGUUGUACAGCACUGUCACAUUAAGGCAAGGAGAAACGAAGCAUUAUAACCAUAAAGUGGAUGCCUACAGCUUUGCGAUUGUGCUAUGGGAGCUCCUGCACAACAAGUUACCAUUUGAAGGCAUGUCAAAUCUCCAGGCAGCAUAUUCAGCUGCUUUUAAGGUAAUAACCCCCCAUGUAACGUUUCUAGUCCAGUCGUGUUAUACUGAUUGAUUAAAGUAGCUUGUGUGCUAAAACCUUUUGUAUUUCAAGUAUUGUUAAAUUUAGCUGAUGUUUUGCAAUACAGAAUGUGAGGCCUAGUGCUGAAAACCUGCCGGAGGAAUUGGCCAUCAUUCUAACAUCAUCUUGGAAGGAGGACCCAAAUGCUCGUCCUAAUUUCAGUGAAAUAAUCCAGAUGCUCCUAAAUUUUAUUUCUGGUAUGUGUCCUCCUGAGCCAACAGCUAUUCCUCCUCGAAUUUUUGCUUCAGAGAACUCCAUCUUGGCGCCCGAGUCUCCAGGUACGAGCUCUUUGAUGGGAGUCCGUGACGAUUCUGAGGAAACCCCCAAAGCCAGGAAAGAUAAAAAACAGAGGAGUUUCUUCUUCUGCUUUGACCAUGUUGGAAUCAAAAGAAGCCAAAGAGGGCUCGCUUGCCUAACAAGUAAGCUUUUUGAUAACAUCGAACGGUAUAUAUUUUAGAAUGAUAAGUGACACUAAGUGGAAGUCCUGUUCAGUUGGGUAAAAGCAAAUGUUGGCAUCUAUCUCAUCUUGAUGUUUCUGUCAUUUUGUGCUCACGAUAGUUCAUAGUUGGAAAUAAAUGGCUCUGAUCAUCAUCAGUAAUUGGUCAGUUGGGGGGUAUAUUACAAUGUUUAAUGAUAAGAUGGGUGUAGGAAGGAAUUUCUUUUCUUUUUUCUUGUAAAAGAAGAAGAAAUUGUAAGAAUUACAAGUGUUAAUCACUCUAAAGGAGAAGAAAGCAACACGGCCUCAGACUAAGAGGUUAGAGUAGCUGUAAACGAUUCCUAUUACUAGCAACAGUUUUUUCGUAAUUAUGUUAUACUCUUGCAUUAAUGCACUUCAAAACAAUUUUCAUUGCAAUUUGCAAGUAGUGUUUUUAUAAGAAUGUGAUCCAAAUAUGCAGGGGGUUCCAAUAUCUUACUCAAAAUAUUUCAGUGAAAUAGUUCCAAGAAAGCAGGCAAGCUUAAAAUAAUUUUUCUUGAUGCUAGGGAUUCGAUUCUGGAACUUUUUUUUCAGAGGGGUUGAUGGCAAAUUAGUUCGAUUCCCAUUAGCAAAAUUCGAGAGGAUCUGCUUUUCAGGGUAUCUUUUUGGCUCUAACAAACGUGUCUCCUAAACCAGCCACUGGAACCUCAAACACGUGUUCACUAUCAUAAAGAAAUUCUGAUUACUGUAUAGGUCAUUGAAUAAUGCAGCAGGCGACAUCACAUUCUAACCAAAUCAUUCUGUCGUUGGUUCUUUUUCUUUUACCUAUAUUUUAUUCCUCCGUCUUUAUAUGUGAUUAAACUGAAUCCAACUUGAUAAAGCAGCGAACAGGAUGCAAUCUUAUCACUUACGAAUAAAUAAUAUAAGGUUGCUAUAAAUGUGCAGCUUCUAAUAUUACAAGCUUACUCAUAGCCAUAGUUGGAAGCGAAGGGAGUAGUACAGACAACAAUGAGAAGGAGCUUAGUAUAUACUCCCAGACAGAAUUCCGGUUGGGACACCACGUCCCAAGACUACCAAGCUCAUCUUUCCCGAAUGGAAAGAUCAGCCACCAUGAUCCCUGGUGCCCCUCAGUAGCCCAAUGUCCACAAGGCCUUCAACAACAAGGUUGAGUUUCCAGAAGAAGAUCAGUGCGCUGAGCGGUCCCCAACGGCAAACUCCCGAAAGAAGGUUCAGGUGGUUGAGCAUGCAGAGACCGUUGAUGAAGCCACCCUUGAUUCUCAAGCUGAUGGCUACAUCCAGCAGAAACACAAAGCCUUUGAACUGUGCAAAUGGAAGACCUUCAAAAUGCACUAGAGUCUGAGACUUUUGGAGCAAGCAUGUCGAUCAUGAUUUAACGACAGGCCACGUAACUUAAAUAUAUGAAGUAUUGCUGCUCAUACACUAGUUAAAUAAAUGACCUGUCACUGUCUUGGAGAGCUACCAAGACUCUGUGUUUUCUUUUUUCUCUUUUUCUUUGUAAGUUAACUAAGCUCUUAAUGGUGGUUGCUUGGAUAGCAUAGUAAUUGCUCUUAGGUGUGGCCUGAUAUGUAGUUGCUGUUAAUUGAAAAUUAUUUAUGAAUACUAAUAUAUAGUAUACACAUAUACAUUACCUUCGUAUGCAGUAAUUCCAGCAGAAUCAAUAUAUAUAUAUACAACAUAUCUAAUCAAGCCACUAUAGUAUUGAUCGAGUUGCCUUCUGGAUCCUGUCCAAUUGUUAACUGAGAUAACGUGAAUGGUUCAUCAGUCUUAGCACCCGACCCGACCCUGACUGUUGAAGUAAUCAAACAGUUAAAUUUAAAGUAAUUGAGCCAACAAUUCAAAGAAGCAAGUGAUUCAAGUUUUGUGUUAACACCUCAAGUACUCCAAAGUAGGACCCUAAAUUGUAAUGCAAAUAAAAAAUAAAAUAUCGAUGUGAUUGAAGAAACUAAUAAUAUGCUUGAGGUGAAUGGAAGCCUAGGCCUAGCUGACAAUUGUGGCAACGCUGGAAAUAUAUCCUAAAAACCUUGUUCCAUGUGCAAGCCUACAAGUUUGGUGGUUCUAGACAUCAAAUAACUUGAUCAGAAAUGAGUUGGUUCUUCACAUUAAAUAACUCACUUGUAAAUAAAAAUAUAUAUUAUAAUUUUUAAUGUGUUAUCUGAACAACUUUUAGACGACUCCAAAUGCACAGAUAUUGAAAAGAGGAUUCCAAUUAAAACUUGGGAAAAGAGGAUGGAUAACCUUCAAAAUAGGUUAUCUGUUGGAUCUCAGACUACCAAAGGAACUACUAUCAAUAUGUUUAUUGUUGCAGGACGAAAAAUGUGGUACUGUUGACCCACAAAUCCAAUUCACACUUCACAUAGACCUAAGACUAGCAGGAAACAGAAAAAGGAUCACAAACCAUUGUUAUCUUCACGGGGGAUUUUAAUAUCAGCUUCAACGAAUCUCCUAGAAGACACCCUUUUUAACAGAUUUCUAAGGCUGUUCUUACUCUCCUUUCCCCUUUUUUGUGCUCUACUUGAAUUUCCUUCUAACUCUGACCCAGCUGCUGAAAAAGGGUCAUCGAGAACCAGAGCAGUCUCAAGCUUUUUGGCCAGGGUGACAAGCUCAUAUGAAUCCCACAGUGAUUGGGCGAAGUCCCAAUGUGGAGUACUAGCAAUACUAGUGCGCUCGUCCUUAAGCUUCACAGAUGGGUUGCUCAUUGCUUCAAGCUUGAAUCUUGAAGGCCUAGCUUUGAAAUGUCGACGUGGGUAAGCAUCGAAUUCAUUGGUAGACCUAGAGGUACCGGAGUGAGAGUGCCAGGCUUGUGCUACUGCUUUGAUGAUUUGAAGGUCUUUGUUGAUGUCAUGUUGAGGCUGGAGCUGCUUUUUCUUCAUCGGUGGUGCUCUGUAGGAAUUAGGUCAUGAUGUAGGGGCCAAUCCAUACUGCUGUGGCAUCCUAUUCCUUGGGAUAAAUUUGAGCCUCACACGCUAGCUGUCGUAGAUAGAAUAUUGUAGUCUGAUCCUAACCUAGCUAGCUAAUUUAUGUGAUGAACAUCACUCCACAUUUAUAAAGAUUAAUUUUUUGGUUUUUCUAAUUAACUGAAAAAUCUGCUGCAUGGAGUGUAAUUCUAAAGCAUGGGCAUGAAUGCUUGUGGUGUGCCCACAGAAAUAGAAAUGAGAGAUUGAUUGGCGGGUGGGUGGGUGGACGGGCGGAUGGAUGGAUAGAUGAUUGUUCUAGGCUAAAUUCUGUUAUUACUACCUGCCUUUAUACUUUUUAAAAAUUUAAAAUUUUAGUCCUCAACUAAUGAUAAUUAUUAAAUUCAUUGAAUUAAGCUUUGCUAUUUUCAAAUUUUGAUGCAGUAAACAUACUAUCAUAUGAAUAAUAACACGUCUGUCAAAACCAUUUUUUAUUUUGAAAAAAACGAGGAUUGACUUUUAAAACCAAAUGUCGAGUUGCCACCAAUCUUUUUGUUUAGGUGUGAUUGGAUCACUUAAUAAAACAUUUUGUUUCACUUAAAAUAAUUUUGUUCUACGUAAAUUUAAAAAUAGGUUCAGGAGCCGGUUACGUAUGAGGAAGGGUUAGCACCCUCACUACGCCCAAAAACUGGUACCAGAUUGAUUAAUUGAUGUCCUUAUGUCUAGGCUUUUUAAAAAAAUUUGAAAUGUGGUUCCUUUUUAAAACAUUUGAGUGAUUUUAGCUGGUCGUCAAAACUUUCUCGUUUCAAAAGUAUAAAGCAUCACAUCCAGCACGAUAGGACACGACCCUUUAUACUUUUGAGAACACGAUUGAGUUUUGACUUCCAAAAGCUCUUAGGUCAAAAGUUACAAAAGGGUGUCCAGAUAUUUAGUCCAACGAAAAAUCAAAACCCAGCACGUUAGGGCACGAUUUCUCGAAUUUCUAAAUACUGAACAUUGCCUUAUUUUAGGAUUUUUAAAAAAAUUUGUAAACUCAAAACAUAUUAAUUUUAUUUGAAAUUCAAUGGAAUAGUUGAUUUUAACGAGUUGGGAAUUAUAAAGCAACAUUUUGUAAACCAAAAGAAAAAUAAUUAGCAUGGGAUAAUAUACAUGCUUAAAAUACAAUACUUGGUGAACGAAGAUAACAUAACCUUAUUUAACCAACUAAAUCAAACAAUUGAAUAUAGUUAAUCUAAGCAAAAUGAAACCAUCCUUCCUAGCAUGUAUGGAGAACAAUUGAGAUAAUAAUAAAAAUGAAAGAAAUAGUACAACAAUAAUGUAUAGAUUAAUAUAAUACAACCAAUGCAAAAUAUACAUAACAAAAUGAAAAAAAAAAAUAGAAAAAAUAUGGUAUAAGACAAAUUUUAAAUAAUGAUGAACACAUAAUAUAUGAAUUGAUGUGAUGAAUUUGAAACUAUUUGUAAAAACAACCUAGAGAUAUAUAUGUAAUCCUCAAAAUAUGUAUUAUAGAAUGAAGAUUUUUAGAUCAAAUAACAUACAAAGUGUUAAAAACAUUUGUUAAAAUAUAUACAAUAAAGGAAAAUUUAAUAAUAUAUAAAAUAUGAAAGGAUAGCAAUAAUACAUAAUAAGAUAUAAUCUUAGGAAAUACACAUAAUAGGUUUACAAAACAUAUAUAUAUAUAUAUAAAUAGAUUGAGAAAUAAUUAUUUGUAAAAAUAGCAUGGAAUUAAUAAUGCAUAUAAAAUUAAGUUAAUUUAUAAAUUAUAUAUGUAAUAGAUUAAAAAACACAAUUAUAUAUACAAAUAUAAAAUCUAUAUGUAUAAAAUAACAUGGCGUUAAUAACAUAUAUAGGUCAACUAUAAGUACCAAGUAUAUGCCUAAUAAUAAUUUAAAUUACACAUAAAGUAGAUGGAUUUCCCCUUAAAUAACAAAAAGAAUACAUACAUUAAAAUAUGUGAAUAGAUUCACAAGAAAAUAAUAUAAAAUUAAUAGUAUACAUAAACUAAAAUGAAUUUUAUUACAAAUUAUAUAUAUAAAAUAGUAUUCAAAAUGUUAAAGUGAUAGAAUAAAAGAGAAAAAAAUAUAAUAAUGGUUUUUAUAAUAAUGUUAAAAUAAGGAUAAAACAAACUUAAUUAAAACAAAAUUGAAACAAAAGGGACAAUUUACAAAUAAAAUAAUCGUAAAGAGGAUCAAUGUGCAAUGUGCGCAAAUGUAAGGGACUAGAAUUGGAAAUACCCCCGAGCCCAAAACGUUGCGUUGUACCGCGGACCAAAAUGAAAAUAUGCAUAAAUUAUAGAGCCAAAUUAAAAAAAAACAAAGUAAAAUGCAUAAAGCGCAAUCGACGACUCGUGCGAAAGGGGAGGACCGUGCACGCAAUUAUCCCUCUAAGGCCCAAACACGCGGAUCUCAUCCGAACACGGGCCGGGUCAUCGGGUCGCGACUACCAUAUGGCGUCGUUUUUAAACCAUUAAAGUUGGUCAAAACAGCGCCGUUUCCAAUCCUUUAAAAUGGCUAAAUUAGCCGAAUUUGAUUAAUUUCCUUCUUUUUCCUUUAGCAAACCCUAAAUUCCCCCCUAACCGCCGAUUCCUCUCUAUGAUAAGGUGCCUUUGAGGAAUAAUCUCUCAGCUUUGACCUUCCUUCAACUUCGAUUCCAACGAAGCAAAGAGAAGAUCCAUGGCGUAUUCGCACGGUAAGGUUUGCUUCCUUCCUUUGUUUUCUUUUUUCUUUUUAAAAAAAUGCAACAAUGAUGUAUUCUAGAAAGCAAAUCGAAAAGAAAAAAAACUUAGAAAAACUCAAAUCAGAAAUCAUCUUGAAAAUUUUGACUGAUUUCCUCUCUAUUCGAUUUGCAUGCGUAUAGUGUGCGUAAGUUUUUUCUUUUACAGAUUACAUUCGGUUUUUAUAGCCAAGUGAAAUAAAAAAUAAUAACAAUAAUAAUUACAGAACGAUUUUUCUUUUUUGUUAUUCCUCUGUUGCUGUGGCUUGUGGGUUUGUUGCAGGUACAGCUGUGCAUGGAGAAACUGCUCGUGGGCGAUAGUGCGAAGGCUUCCAGAAGCUUCAAUGUUUGGGCCCUAUGAGCCUGCUUUGAAAUCGGCUGGCUGGAGGCUGUUGUGAAGGCCACUGGUGGUUGCUUGCGGCGCGAGGGGACGUUCGUGGGAGCUGCGGCGCUGUUUAGCUCGGAUUUCAAUUUCUGGAACAGAAAUUUUGGGCCAUUUGGGCUAGUUCUGGGAUUGGGCCUAUUAGGGACUUAAUUUAUUCGGGUAUUGGGUUGUUGAUUUGGGUUAGGGGACUAAAUUGGGCUGGGUUUAUUUGUAAAAAUGUUACAAUUUGUAUGAGGAUUGUUUUUGGACUUUAAUUUUGGUGUUUUUUAUUUUGAUUCUUUUUUUUUUUGGUUUUUGUGUAAGCCCGGGCGAAAUGGGCCUAUUACAAAACAUAUGAAAAAUGAUUAACCACUGUCAUAUGAAGGACUUAGUUUUGUUUUAUUGUUUGUUUUUGUCAAUUUAUUAUUUUCACAUAUUAUCAGCAAGAAAUUCAUUUAAUGGAUUAAUCACUGUUGUUUGCUUUAAGAUUGAAAUUUCAAAUUUUGAAAAAUAUAUG